This 265-nucleotide ribosomal RNA is filed under the name uncultured archaeon. Its description in RNAcentral is "partial 16S ribosomal RNA". It matches the Rfam family "Archaeal small subunit ribosomal RNA", at positions 256 to 521 of the family's 1478-position model. The record is from RNAcentral.
GCCUACGACGGAUACGGGUUGUGAGAGCAAUCACCCGGAGACGAUAUCUGAGACACGAUAUCGGGCCCUACGGGGCGCAGCAGGCGCGAAAACUUCACACUGUGCGAAAGCACGAUGAGGGAAUCCCAAGUGCUGGCUCGUAAGAGUCAGCUGUUUCUCUGUCUAAAAAACAGAGAGAGUAAGGGCUGGGUAAGACGGGUGCCAGCCGCCGCGGUAAUACCUGCAGCUCAAGUGGUGGCCGCUAUUAUUGGGCCUAAAACGUCCG